RNAcentral lists this ribosomal RNA (256 nucleotides) under uncultured bacterium. RNAcentral's name for it is "partial 16S ribosomal RNA". It matches the Rfam family "Bacterial small subunit ribosomal RNA", at positions 793 to 1055 of the family's 1533-position model. The record is from RNAcentral.
GUCCAUGCCGUAACGAUGUCUACUAGCCGUUGGGCCUUUGAGGCUUUAGUGGCGCAGCUAACGCGAUAAGUAGACCGCCUGGGAGUACGGUCGCAAGACUAACUCAAUGAAUUGACGGGGCCCGCACAAGCGGUGGAGCAUGUGGUUUAAUUCGAAGCAACGCGAAGAACCUUACCUGGCCUUGACAUGCUGAGAACUUUCCAGAGAUGGAUUGGUGCCUUCGGGAACUCAGACACAGGUGCUGCAUGGCUGUCGU